Molecule: ribosomal RNA, 339 nt
Filed under: Mesobuthus gibbosus (Mediterranean checkered scorpion)
Lineage: Eukaryota; Metazoa; Arthropoda; Arachnida; Scorpiones; Buthidae
Description: partial 16S ribosomal RNA
Source: RNAcentral
CUUUUGCGCUUAAGAGGUAUUUUAAUUCAACAUCGAGGUCAUAAUCUCACUUGUCAAUUAGAACUUUCUAAGUGAAUUAAGCUGUUAUCCCUAAAGUAACUUAUUCUUUUUUUAAAAAUUUUAGAUAUAAAAACAUAUUUGUUUUAUUCAGAGAAGAAAAGAUAGAUUUUCCUACCGCCCCAGUAAAAUAUUUAUUUAUUUCUCCUAGAAUAAAAAAAUAUAAAGUUUUAUAGGGUCUUCUUGUCUUUAAGAAAAAUUUUAGCCUUCUUACUAAAAAGUUAACUUUAUUUUUUUAUUCCUGAAAAUUCUCUUCCAGUUUACUCUUUCAUUCCAGUCUCU